UGAUGGUCCUGGUGUGGGAGAGCCAGCCCUGAGGGCAUGAAAGCCAGAAAACUGGCCCCGCCCUUGCUCAUUGCUCUAAGGGGUGAACUAGUCGGGCACUGCUGGAGAGCUCAAAGAACAGAGAGCUGGUGGCCUGACCAACCCUGCAACUACUCAGGUCCAGAACCAGGGUUCUGAGUUGGCCCACCCAUCAUUACCCCAUCUAUGAUCUGCUAGAGACCCAAAGCUGCAGAAUCUCCACAACACAGGGAAACAAUGGAUAUCCAAGAGGAGUCCCCGAGAGGGCCCAGCACUGACCGCAUGGCAGAAACCAGAGGCCUCAAACCAGACCACUGACUCUGUGCAAUGAACACCUGCAGGGCAUUCAAGGGGCAGAGGGCAGAUACGAAGGGGCAGGGAAAUGAACAGGAUCGAGAUGCAGGAUGUGAAAGACACAAAGAAUAAAUAAAAAGAAACUUGAAAAAAAAAAAAGAGGCAGACUCUGCUUUCUGGGAUGGUAGCAGCCUGCUACACAUCACCCUUCCCAGACUGGAACACAGGUAGAGAUGGCAUUCCACCAAACUGCCACAAAACGCAGAGGGGUCUUUCUCCACUUUAUCCCAGAUUGAAGGAACGGACGUGCUAUUUGGAUGCCACAUGUACUAAUGAAUUCCACUUUCAAGUAUCAGUAAAAACUGAUGCUUCUUA
Mesocricetus auratus (golden hamster) is the source of this 687-nucleotide long non-coding RNA. RefSeq lists it as uncharacterized. The transcript has 2 exons. The record is from RefSeq and is a predicted model, not a curated record. Lineage: Eukaryota; Metazoa; Chordata; Mammalia; Rodentia; Cricetidae.